Molecule: ribosomal RNA, 614 nt
Filed under: uncultured bacterium
Lineage: Bacteria
Description: bacterial SSU rRNA
Rfam family: Bacterial small subunit ribosomal RNA
Source: RNAcentral
ACUCCUACGGGAGGCAGCAGUGGGGAAUAUUGGACAAUGGGCGGAAGCCUGAUCCAGCAACGCCGCGUGAGGGAUGACGGCCUUCGGGUUGUAAACCUCUUUCAGCUCCGACGAAGUUGCUCCUUUUUGGGGGUGGUGACGGUAGGGGCAGAAGAAGGACCGGCCAACUACGUGCCAGCAGCCGCGGUAAUACGUAGGGUCCGAGCGUUGUCCGGAAUUAUUGGGCGUAAAGGGCUCGUAGGCGGUUUGUCGCGUCGGGAGUGAAAACACCGGGCUUAACUCGGUGCUUGCUUUCGAUACGGGCAGACUAGAGGUAUGCAGGGGAGAACGGAAUUCCUGGUGUAGCGGUGAAAUGCGCAGAUAUCAGGAGGAACACCGGUGGCGAAGGCGGUUCUCUGGGCAUUACCUGACGCUGAGGAGCGAAAGUGUGGGGAGCGAACAGGAUUAGAUACCCUGGUAGUCCACACCGUAAACGUUGGGCGCUAGGUGUGGGAUCCAUUCCACGGGUUCCGUGCCGUAGCUAACGCAUUAAGCGCCCCGCCUGGGGAGUACGGCCGCAAGGCUAAAACUCAAAGGAAUUGACGGGGGCCCGCACAAGCGGCGGAGCAUGCGGA